GGAAGCCGGUGCAAAACCGGCACGGUCGCGCCACUGUGAACGCUCCGCCCGCCCCGGGCGGGGCGUGAGUCAGAC
This 75-nucleotide non-coding RNA is filed under the name Streptomyces sp. Lineage: Bacteria; Bacillati; Actinomycetota; Actinomycetes; Kitasatosporales; Streptomycetaceae. The record is from RNAcentral.